AAAGAGUAAGAAACUUUAGCGUGUGUACCUUUUGUAUCAGGGGAAGUUAAAAGUGCAAGUAAUAAAGGAUCGAUUUAAGCAGAGCUUCGUACAAAAUAGCUAUAGUUAAAUUUAUAGCUUUAAUAGAUUAUGUGGUGAAAAAUGUACGGUGCUUAUGGUAGCUAUUUGUUUUUUUAUUGAAGGGUAAGCUUUCAUUGACUUAAUUGUGUAAAAGGUAUAGGGAAUUAGGCUUUGUAUUAGCCAGAUUAUUAAAUUGUUUUAAAUAAUCUAACAGUGUAAGAUAAAUCUUAAGGUUAAAAGACUCGGUCUAUUAAUUUGGAUAGGUCUGAAUAAUGAGUUUAUUGAAUAUAGCACGAAAUACUUAAAUAACUCAAAGUAAGUUAGAAUGUUUAGCAAAAACAUUUUCUUUUGGUGUAAGUAAGAUAAGACCUGCCCGGUGAUUUUUAACGGCUGCGGUAUUUUGACUGUGCUAA
RNAcentral lists this ribosomal RNA (473 nucleotides) under Gammarus cf. subaequalis-Garlyk. RNAcentral describes it as "partial 16S ribosomal RNA". Lineage: Eukaryota; Metazoa; Arthropoda; Malacostraca; Amphipoda; Gammaridae. The record is from RNAcentral.